Molecule: long non-coding RNA, 245 nt
Organism: Hordeum vulgare subsp. vulgare (domesticated barley)
Lineage: Eukaryota; Viridiplantae; Streptophyta; Magnoliopsida; Poales; Poaceae
Exons: 3
Source: RefSeq, a predicted model, not a curated record
GUCUUCGCCUCGACAAGUCAAGGAUCACAUGUAUGGCAGUCCAAUUUUGAAUAUCAAGUGGCACCAGACACUUAAUUCUACCGAACCUAAACUGAUAACUGCUGAUAAGCAUAUAGUGAGAGUUUGGGAUCCUAAUAUAGGAAACAACAUGACUAUCAUUGAACCUGAUAAUGGCUCUAUCAAUGAUGUUUGCAUCUUCUCGAAUAGUGGUUUAAUGCUAUUAGCCCUGGACAACAGCCAGAUAC